AAGAGACAGCAGCAGCCACGGGAAUACGUAGGUGGCAAGCGUUGUCCGGAAUUAUUGGGCGUAAAGGGCUCGCAGGCGGUUUCUUAAGUCUGAUGUGAAAGCCCCCGGCUCAACCGGGGAGGGUCAUUGGAAACUGGGAAACUUGAGUGCAGAAGAGGAGAGUGGAAUUCCACGUGUAGCGGUGAAAUGCGUAGAGAUGUGGAGGAACACCAGUGGCGAAGGCGACUCUCUGGUCUGUAACUGACGCUGAGGAGCGAAAGCGUGGGGAGCGAACAGGAUUAGAUACCCCCGUAGUCCCUGUCUCUUAUAC
This 310-nucleotide ribosomal RNA is filed under the name uncultured bacterium. RNAcentral's name for it is "partial 16S ribosomal RNA". It matches the Rfam family "Bacterial small subunit ribosomal RNA", at positions 503 to 807 of the family's 1533-position model. The record is from RNAcentral.